RNAcentral lists this ribosomal RNA (468 nucleotides) under uncultured bacterium. Its description in RNAcentral is "partial 16S ribosomal RNA". It matches the Rfam family "Bacterial small subunit ribosomal RNA", at positions 28 to 507 of the family's 1533-position model. The record is from RNAcentral.
GACGAACGCUGGCGGCGUGCUUAACACAUGCAAGUCGAACGGAAAGGCCCUGCUUUUGUGGGGUGCUCGAGUGGCGAACGGGUGAGUAACACGUGAGUAACCUGCCCUUGACUUUGGGAUAACUUCAGGAAACUGGGGCUAAUACCGGAUAGGAGCUCCUGCUGCAUGGUGGGGGUUGGAAAGUUUCGGCGGUUGGGGAUGGACUCGCGGCUUAUCAGCUUGUUGGUGGGGUAGUGGCUUACCAAGGCUUUGACGGGUAGCCGGCCUGAGAGGGUGACCGGCCACAUUGGGACUGAGAUACGGCGCAGACUCCUACGGGAGGCAGCAGUGGGGAAUAUUGCAGAAUGGGCGGAAGCCUGAUGCAGCAACGCCGCGUGCGGGAUGACGGCCUUCGGGUUGUAAACCGCUUUCGCCUGUGACGAAGCGUGAGUGACGGUAAUGGGUAAAGAAGCACCGGCUAACUACGUG